This 981-nucleotide long non-coding RNA is filed under the name Lepisosteus oculatus (spotted gar). RNAcentral describes it as "lncRNA (ENSLOCG00000021515.1)". The record is from RNAcentral. Lineage: Eukaryota; Metazoa; Chordata; Actinopteri; Semionotiformes; Lepisosteidae.
CCCCUCUGUAGCCUUCCUAAAUUUAUCUCAGGAUUUAAGUAAAAGUGAAAUAAUCUUACAGUGUACAGUAACUGGGGGACACAGGAGCACAGCUGUCCUGUUUUUAGACUAAAACAGCAUAAAGAUGUGAUAUAACGUUUUCUAACGGGUAACAUGAGGCUUCAGGAGAAGGGGGGCAAGUGUUGUGUUUAAAGCAAAUAUAAGCUGUCACAGUAUGCUUGGGAAAAGAUGUACAGUUUCAACUACUGAUGUGGGUGGGGGACACCCCAGACCUAUUGGGCUGGGAUGCCUUGCAGCAUUUAUAAGGAAUUACUGUAUGAAAUAGCAUUUAUGUGAACUAUCUCAAUAGAGUUAUGUGAUAUUGUGAUUGUUUUACCUAAUGAGGGAAUCCAUAAGGACGGGCUACUCCAAGUAUUAGAUCUUUAGAUGGAAAAAAGGGUAUAAAACCAACGACAUGAUAAAGCCAGGGUGAAUUCCUUCUCAGAACGAGCUCAACUGGUGAUGUAUUGGCUUAAGGGGGUAGUGCAGUCUAAAGACAAAAUUCCCUUGACCCCUGCAGCAGAAACCUUUUUUAAUGUUUUGAAACAAGCCUUCUUGCAGGUACUGGCCCUGGACUGGAUUCCCUCAGACGGAUCAUCUGUAUGUAAUCUGUAUUGGGUUGCUGCCACUGCCUCUGUGUCUACCAAACACUUGAUGACAGAGAUAAGCCCUCGGUGGGCACUGCUCUACUGCUUGUAUUAUGAUCAAGGGACACACUUCACAGGGAAGGUGUGUCAGGAUUUGGCCGCAUUGUUCGGGGUGAGAUGGACUGAGAUCACCCUGUCUGCUGGAACAGUGGAAAGAAGGAACAGAACUCUGAAAGAUCGACUAGACAUCAGACUGAAGGAACGCCAUGGGAUGUGGGCUGGAUCAAACAGAACUGUGUAACAGAGCCUGUUUGAUAUCAUCAUGGGCCAAUCAACUAAACUUCCUGGAGGGCCG